GGAGCUUGCUCCACCGGAAAAAGAAGAGUGGCGAACGGGUGAGUAACACGUGGGUAACCUGCCCAUCAGAAGGGGAUAACACUUGGAAACAGGUGCUAAUACCGUAUAACAAUCGAAACCGCAUGGUUUUGAUUUGAAAGGCGCUUUCGGGUGUCGCUGAUGGAUGGACCCGCGGUGCAUUAGCUAGUUGGUGAGGUAACGGCUCACCAAGGCCACGAUGCAUAGCCGACCUGAGAGGGUGAUCGGCCACAUUGGGACUGAGACACGGCCCAAACUCCUACGGGAGGCAGCAGUAGGGAAUCUUCGGCAAUGGACGAAAGUCUGACCGAGCAACGCCGCGUGAGUGAAGAAGGUUUUCGGAUCGUAAAACUCUGUUGUUAGAGAAGAACAAGGAUGAGAGUAACUGUUCAUCCCUUGACGGUAUCUAACCAGAAAGCCACGGCUAACUACGUGCCAGCAGCCGCGGUAAUACGUAGGUGGCAAGCGUUGUCCGGAUUUAUUGGGCGUAAAGCGAGCGCAGGCGGUUUCUUAAGUCUGAUGUGAAAGCCCCCGGCUCAACCGGGGAGGGUCAUUGGAAACUGGGAGACUUGAGUGCAGAAGAGGAGAGUGGAAUUCCAUGUGUAGCGGUGAAAUGCGUAGAUAUAUGGAGGAACACCAGUGGCGAAGGCGGCUCUCUGGUCUGUAACUGACGCUGAGGCUCGAAAGCGUGGGGAGCAAACAGGAUUAGAUACCCUGGUAGUCCACGCCGUAAACGAUGAGUGCUAAGUGUUGGAGGGUUUCCGCCCUUCAGUGCUGCAGCUAACGCAUUAAGCACUCCGCCUGGGGAGUACGACCGCAAGGUUGAAACUCAAAGGAAUUGACGGGGGCCCGCACAAGCGGUGGAGCAUGUGGUUUAAUUCGAAGCAACGCGAAGAACCUUACCAGGUCUUGACAUCCUUUGACCACUCUAGAGAUAGAGCUUCCCCUUCGGGGGCAAAGUGACAGGUGGUGCAUGGUUGUCGUCAGCUCGUGUCGUGAGAUGUUGGGUUAAGUCCCGCAACGAGCGCAACCCUUAUUGUUAGUUGCCAUCAUUUAGUUGGGCACUCUAGCAAGACUGCCGGUGACAAACCGGAGGAAGGUGGGGAUGACGUCAAAUCAUCAUGCCCCUUAUGACCUGGGCUACACACGUGCUACAAUGGGAAGUACAACGAGUCGCGAAGUCGCGAGGCUAAGCUAAUCUCUUAAAGCUUCUCUCAGUUCGGAUUGUAGGCUGCAACUCGCCUACAUGAAGCCGGAAUCGCUAGUAAUCGCGGAUCAGCACGCCGCGGUGAAUACGUUCCCGGGCCUUGUACACACCGCCCGUCACACCACGAGAGUU
RNAcentral lists this ribosomal RNA (1357 nucleotides) under Enterococcus durans. RNAcentral describes it as "bacterial SSU rRNA". It matches the Rfam family "Bacterial small subunit ribosomal RNA", at positions 75 to 1412 of the family's 1533-position model. The record is from RNAcentral. Lineage: Bacteria; Bacillati; Bacillota; Bacilli; Lactobacillales; Enterococcaceae.